GCGGCAGGCCUAACACAUGCAAGUCGAAUGGUAACAGGAAACAGCUUGCUGUUUCGCUGACGAGUGGCGGACGGGUGAGUAAUGUCUGGGAAACUGCCUGAUGGAGGGGGAUAACUACUGGAAACGGUAGCUAAUACCGCAUAACGUCGCAAGACCAAAGAGGGGGACCUUCGGGCCUCUUGCCAUCAGAUGCGCCCAGAUGGGAUUAGCUAGUAGGUGGGGUAACGGCUCACCUAGGCGACGAUCCCUAGCUGGUCUGAGAGGAUGACCAGCCACACUGGAACUGAGACACGGUCCAGACUCCUACGGGAGGCAGCAGUGGGGAAUAUUGCACAAUGGGCGCAAGCCUGAUGCAGCCAUGCCGCGUGUAUGAAGAAGGCCUCCGGGUUGUAAAGUACUUUCAGCGGGGAGGAAGGGAGUAAAGUCAAUACCUUUGCUCAUUGACGUUACCCGCAGAAGAAGCACCGGCUAACUCCGUGCCAGCAGCCGCGGUAAUACGGAGGGUGCAAGCGUUAAUCGGAAUUACUGGGCGUAAAGCGCACGCAGCCGGUUUGUUAAGUCAGAUGUGAAAAUCCCCGGCUCAACCUGGGAACUGCAUCUGAUACUGGCAAGCUUGAGUCUCGUAGAGGGGGGUAGAAUUCCAGGUGUAGCGGUGAAAUGCGUAGAGAUCUGGAGGAAUACCGGGUGGCGAAGGCGGCCCCCUGGACAAAAACUGACGCUCAGGUGCGAAAGCGUGGGGAGCAAACAGGAUUAGAUACCCUGAUAGUCCCGCCCGAACCCGA
RNAcentral lists this ribosomal RNA (782 nucleotides) under uncultured bacterium. Its description in RNAcentral is "bacterial SSU rRNA". It matches the Rfam family "Bacterial small subunit ribosomal RNA", at positions 39 to 810 of the family's 1533-position model. The record is from RNAcentral.